GCGGGGUGGGGUAGCCAGGAUAUCCCGUCGGGCUCAUAACCCGGAGAUCGAUGGUUCAAAUCCAUCCCCCGCU
This 73-nucleotide transfer RNA is filed under the name Euryarchaeota archaeon RBG_16_68_13. RNAcentral describes it as "tRNA-Met". It matches the Rfam family "tRNA". From Rfam's summary of the family: Transfer RNA (tRNA) molecules are approximately 80 nucleotides in length. Their secondary structure includes four short double-helical elements and three loops (D, anti-codon, and T loops). Further hydrogen bonds mediate the characteristic L-shaped molecular structure. tRNAs have two regions of fundamental functional importance: the anti-codon, which is responsible for specific mRNA codon recognition, and the 3' end, to which the tRNAs corresponding amino acid is attached (by aminoacyl-tRNA synthetases). tRNAs cope with the degeneracy of the genetic code in two manners: having more than one tRNA (with a specific anti-codon) for a particular amino acid; and 'wobble' base-pairing, i.e. permitting non-standard base-pairing at the 3rd anti-codon position. The record is from RNAcentral. Lineage: Archaea; Methanobacteriati; Methanobacteriota.